RNAcentral lists this unclassified non-coding RNA (124 nucleotides) under uncultured Archaeorhizomyces. Its description in RNAcentral is "sequence contains ITS1". Lineage: Eukaryota; Fungi; Ascomycota; Archaeorhizomycetes; Archaeorhizomycetales; Archaeorhizomycetaceae. The record is from RNAcentral.
CUGAAUGAUCAUCCUUGAUCUUCUUACCCUCAAACCACUGUGGAAGAUGAGAUGUGCUUCGGCGCCGACGGCGCCGCCUUUAUGCUCCAACAAUGUCUUUUUUUGUCUGAACAAUCGAAUGUCA